RNAcentral lists this ribosomal RNA (253 nucleotides) under uncultured bacterium. Its description in RNAcentral is "partial 16S ribosomal RNA". It matches the Rfam family "Bacterial small subunit ribosomal RNA", at positions 524 to 776 of the family's 1533-position model. The record is from RNAcentral.
UACGUAGGGUGCAAGCGUUGUCCGGAAUUAUUGGGCGUAAAGAGCUCGUAGGCGGUUUGUCGCGUCGAAUGUGAAAACCCGGGGCUCAACCCCGGGCCUGCAUUCGAUACGGGCAGACUAGAGUUCGGUAGGGGAGUCUGGAAUUCCUGGUGUAGCGGUGAAAUGCGCAGAUAUCAGGAGGAACACCGGUGGCGAAGGCGUGACUCUGGGCCGAUACUGACGCUGAGGAGCGAAAGCGUGGGGAGCAAACAGG